This 3752-nucleotide long non-coding RNA is filed under the name Gallus gallus (chicken). The record is from RNAcentral. Lineage: Eukaryota; Metazoa; Chordata; Aves; Galliformes; Phasianidae.
UUUCUCCUUUAGCCUAAGAUUUGGAUGUUUUGGGGCUUGAAGUUUUAAACAGUGACCUGAAAAGGGUAUCUUCCAAAACAGAGCAGCUAUUACAUGUGUAAGCUGUCCAGAAAAGAUGCAAAACAUCUAUCAACUAUUAACCUUACGUUUUUAGAAAUGAAAUAAACAGUAGGACUGUGGAAAGGUUCAUUCUGUUGUGUUGACUAUAAUAGCCUUGAGUGUUAUGAGAUGGAGCAUUGGUGGUCCCGAAGUCAAAUUGUAGGACUAGCACUGAACAAAGCAUUCUUAUUUGAAAGCUUCAUUAUUUUCCGCAGACUUAUUUAUUUUUCAUUUUUCACUCUGAUAAUGAUGUUUCCUUGUCUUAUUUAAUUAUAUCUCAAGCUAAUGGAAUUUUGACCGCAGUAAAAAUGCUGUAGUUUUAGGGUUCCUGUUCAGAAAGUUUUUUAGCAAAUGUGCCUUUUACCCUGCACUUAAUAAGAGUUCAGAGAAAAAUACUCAUUGCUAUUAGUCAUGUGCAUAAAGGUAGCCUGCUUUAUUGGGGUGGGAGUUUAAUUACCAGCAUAUUUUGUGGAAACCAUUUUUCAGCAUUUUUCAUAUUUGUAGUCUUAAAUAUAAAUAUUGCGUUUUCCAUAAGGACAAUUUCUGCUGUUAGUUUUUAUUCUUUUAAUGAUGUAUAGAGUGGCUUCAUGGCUUUGCUGGGCAACCUCCUUAGCUGCCCUGCUUGAGUGAGGGGCUGGACAAGAUGAUCUCAAGAGGUCCCUUCCAACCUCAGCCAUUCUGUAAUUCUAUGAUUUGUUGCCAUGCAGUAGGGGCCUGCAGUAUUUUUAGAGGGGAGAAAUAUCAGUCACCUCUAGUCAUGAUACAGUGGGAUUGAAAGCAGCUUUGGUGCCUAACUCUAUGAGGCAUUUAGGCCUGGGAAAUCCUAAGCAGAGAUUUCUCUUUGGAAAUCAAAUCAUGAACAUAGCAGCUGAACAGAUGCUGAAGAGCAUCUCCUUGACUCCCUCUCUGACUAAUUUAAGCAGUUUCUCACUCAGUUUCUUGGGUUUUAUACGUUUUGUUCUAGGGAAUCAAACUUCUCCAGAUUAUAGAUAGAGCUGACUAACCGAUUUUUAGGUUGAGGGGGAAGUUUGGUGUCCCUAUUACUUGAAACCCAAGUAUCCUUGGUAAAGUAUCAGAAACCAGACUACUGGUAAGCAGCCCUGUCUUUUGCAGAUCAAAAAUUAGUGUUUUCCUUACCUCACAGAGGUGUUGCAUCUGUGGCUAUUAAGUGCUUAGUCUGGUAACAUGGCUUCCACAAAUAAUUAUUGGAUGAGUAGAGCUAAAGGUGUGUCUAGCAGCUUCUUGCUGUUUGUUCUGCUCUUCCCUGCACUACUUUCAUGCAGGUGACCCAAACUCCAUCUCCUCACUCCCCUGACACAGUGCUGCCUCAACUAACUGACUCUUCUCCAAAGUCUUCUGUUUGCAGUUUCUUCUCUGCCUUGAAGUGUACAGUUGGUGGGGUUUUCUGGAUCUGAAGAACAGCAGAAGGGAGGCUCCUUGUCCUAGAUAGAGCCCUGUUAAAUGGGUGAUCCCUCCACACACCUGUCUGCAGCACAGGAUGCUUAGGAAAGUGCAGAGUGGCUCAUACAUCCCAAUGGGAUGUUCUGAAUUCAACCCAGACAUAAACACAUUCCAAAUAUGUAACUUGGGAGCUAUGAACUGACGCCAUCUCAAUAUGUAUUUUGGCAACAGUGUAUGUGGAAUGAGGCUGAGCAUUCCCAACAUCUCAGCCCUUUGGAGCCUGCUCACACAGUGCCACUCAGAAGGGCACAGCAUAGUCAGACAAAGCUUUGGGUGCUCCUCCAGCUCUUCAUCCAUCACUCCAUGCUUUUCUUAUAAGCAUAGGCCUGCAACAAAAUGGCCUGAGCUCAGCAGAGGAAUACAAGCACUGUGAGAAGAUACUGAUGGAGCAGGGCUUACUCGGCCUGGAGGAGAGAGAGCUCUGAGGAACCCUACAGCAACCUGCCCAGUCCUGCAAGGGCGUUCCUGGGAAGACAGAGCCAGCCUCUUCACAGUGGGGUGCACUGGGGGGGAAAAGAGAACUGGCAGUGGUUGAAACUAGAGAGGCUCAGGCUGGAUUACAAGAGGGGCUGUUUCCCCAUGAGGCCAGAAAAUGGCACAGGUUGCCCUGAGAGGUUGUGCUGUCUCCUGAGCUCAGAGCUGACCCUGCUUUGAGCAGGAUGUAGGGCUGGAUGAGAAAGGAGGUAGGCAGUAGUAAGCCUGGAACAUGCAGAGUCUCUGGGAGUGCCCACUGUACCCAGUUCAAUCCCAGCAGCAGCUUACUGUGCAUUACCCAACACAUAACAGCGUGCUGCCUGGAAAUAGUGACCAUUAGCAGAUCCACAGCCUCGCUCAAUGCCUGAAUUUCACUUUUGGUUGUCAUUGAGCCUGCACUGACCUCGGGUUAGUGAGGGAGCGUUUUGAUGUGCUUUUCUCUCAGCAGGACAGCCCUGCAUCUCCCUUUGUCAUUCCUGUCCCUGUUCUGGCUCUCAGAUGUGCAAAUGUUUAUACCGACCUCAAUUAAAAAUAACAGAGAAGGAGUCGGAUGCUAUCUGUAACCAGACUGGGUACAUGAUAUGGUUCACAAUACAUUCCAGUAAGUUGCUAUACCCGCGUAGCCAAAAGUCAGUGUGGGGAUAGGAAUGAAUGCCAAAGAAACGGGGACAGAAUGAGCUGCGUAAACAGGUACUGAUGUUAAAAGAGAUGCUCAUCAAAUUAUGGUAGGAUGGUUUCCUCUAAAGGGAAAUGUAUCCUGUGCAUUAGACUACAGAAAAUGUAAGCAGCUGAAAUAAUGUUAUGGGAAAUUGCUGGAGCUUUGGCAGCAUGCAAAGAAAAAUGUAGAUGAUCUUUUUUUUUCUUCUGUUUUUGUUGGAGGGACCUGUAUUGCCAGUUCCUCUCACUAAUUGCAUUGUGUCCUUAUGAGCCACUACAGAUAACAUGUAAUUUGUUAGACGUCCUGCAAUAGCCAGCCCUUAAACAAUGAUAACUUUAAACGGCUGCAGCUCACAUACUACCAAAAUAAAUCUAAAUAGGGUUCAUUUUAUUUUCUCCCCACAGUUAAAUUGCUUUCUUACUUUCAUUCUUCUAAGAAAUUUUUAAGGAAUCCUUCUUUAAUAUGAGGAUUUCAAUUGAAGCACCCAUGUGUUGAACUCUGAGAUAACUGGGAUAUGAAUUUAGAUUUUCUAUGAAAUAUUGAAUUAGUACUGAAUCUAAAAUGACUGAUGGCAGUGUUAAUGGGGGAGCCAGGCAUUGUUAUUGUGAAAUACUUCCUGUUUAAGAUUUGUGAAUUGUAGAAUGAUGGCCGCUGAACAGACUUUAGUCUAAAGGUCUGCAUCUGUUUGGAAUUAAGCCCUUUGUAAUUAAUUCAAAAAAAUAAUUCACUACCAUCUUUUCACCCUCCUUUAUGUGAAGUAUUUUUCCUUCCCUUCUGUACUGCAGUGUAGAUUUUCCUUCUGUGAUGUGCGUGGGUGCAGUCUAUAAGCAGAACAGGAGUCAGACUCAACACCUGGCUUUAUGGAAAAUGCAACUGGGAGAAAACAGUGGUGGAGAAAAUAACAUUUGGCAUAAAACAGUAAUUUAUGUGCAUUCAUCACGGUAAAAUGAGGAGCAUUGUCAAAGUCAGGUGCAUAGACUAAAUUUGCACCUGGCCAAUUUUUACAUACGUUGUGCAAUUGCCACUUGGAGGAAUUACAUUCAAGUUCUUAUAUAUAUAU